This 468-nucleotide ribosomal RNA is filed under the name uncultured bacterium. Its description in RNAcentral is "partial 16S ribosomal RNA". It matches the Rfam family "Bacterial small subunit ribosomal RNA", at positions 28 to 507 of the family's 1533-position model. The record is from RNAcentral.
GACGAACGCUGGCGGCGUGCUUAACACAUGCAAGUCGAACGGAAAGGCCCUGCUUUUGUGGGGUUCUCGAUUGGCGAACGGGUGAGUAACACGUGAGUAACCUGCCCUUGACUUUGGGAUAACUUCAGGAAACUGGGGCUAAUACCGGAUAGGAGCUCCUGCUGCAUGGUGGGGGUUGGAAAGUUUCGGCGGUUGGGGAUGGACUCGCGGCUUAUCAGCUUGUUGGUGGGGUAGUGGCUUACCAAGGCUUUGACGGGUAGCCGGCCUGAGAGGGUGACCGGCGACAAUGGGACUGAGGUACGGCCCAGACUCCUACGGGAGGCAGCAGUGGGGAAUAUUGCACAAUGGGCGGAAGCCUGAUGCAGCAACGCCGCGUGCGGGAUGACGGCCUUCGGGUUGUAAACCGCUUUCGCCUGUGACGAAGCGUGAGUGACGGUAAUGGGUAAAGAAGCAACGGCUAACUACGUG